GACGUAGGGCGCGAGCGUUGUCCGGAUUUAUUGGGCGUAAAGAGCUCGUAGGCGGCUUGUCGCGUCGACUGUGAAAUCCCGCGGCUCAACUGCGGGUCUGCAGUCGAUACGGGCAGGCUAGAGUUCGGUAGGGGAGACUGGAAUUCCUGGUGUAGCGGUGAAAUGCGCAGAUAUCAGGAGGAACACCGAUGGCGAAGGCAGGUCUCUGGGCCGACAUUGACGCUCAUGUACGAGAGCGUGGGGAGCAAACAGG
This 253-nucleotide ribosomal RNA is filed under the name uncultured bacterium. Its description in RNAcentral is "partial 16S ribosomal RNA". It matches the Rfam family "Bacterial small subunit ribosomal RNA", at positions 524 to 776 of the family's 1533-position model. The record is from RNAcentral.